Molecule: long non-coding RNA, 782 nt
Filed under: Neogobius melanostomus (round goby)
Lineage: Eukaryota; Metazoa; Chordata; Actinopteri; Gobiiformes; Gobiidae
Description: lncRNA (ENSNMLG00000001523.1)
Source: RNAcentral
CUGAGGUGUAUCGUCACGUUCUUCCAGAUGCAGCAGUGGUUUGAUGAGGAGGGAGAGCGCCACCUGCUGGAGGUCCAGUCAGUGGUCGACUCCGGGGAGCACUUGGAGCAGAUUCUCAACAGCUUCACUGGCUUUCUCAUAGAGGCCAAUGACAGGAGGCACCAUGCCGCGUCGCUGGUGUCUGAGGCGGAGCGGCUGCAGCAGAGCGGGACGUCCCACGCGGAGACGGAGGUCUUCAGGGCGUUUGUGGACAGGUUUAAGUGCGGACUGGAGGAGUUUCUGUGCAGAGCUGAGGCCUGUGGGCGAGAGCUGCAGACCAUGGUGCAGGUCUGUGACUUCUGUGAGCAGGCCUCCACUCUCGCCAAUGAAUGCAUGGACUACUUGGAGCGCAGCCACUCCCAGACCCCACCAACCUGGACCAGACCCAGGACCAGCCCCCUUGUCCCGACCCGUCUUACCCCUCCACCUCCCUGUCCGUAACCCCAGCGCCCCCAGCACCAGCCGACCUGGAGCUGUCCACACUCCACGGCCUCCUGGAGCGGCUUGACCACUUCAGCCCGGAGCGCUUCCAGGAGGUGAAGGUCCAGGCAGGGACCCUUCGGGGGUCCCGGGGCAUGCGGGUGUGGAACGCGGCCUGGCUGCGGUGCCAGGAGGCGCGGCAGCAGCUGGAGGAGCGCGUCCUGGAGAGGACAGCGGCCCGGGACAGCGCCUGCUGUGAGCAUCACUACAUCGAUGUGGUCAGCACAGACGGGCCGCCGCUCGGUCCAGGAGGCCAGGCUCUG